Oncorhynchus keta (chum salmon) is the source of this 1471-nucleotide long non-coding RNA. RefSeq lists it as uncharacterized. The transcript is spliced from 3 exons. The record is from RefSeq and is a predicted model, not a curated record. NCBI's taxonomy places the organism in Eukaryota, Metazoa, Chordata, Actinopteri, Salmoniformes, Salmonidae.
AGUACCAUAGAGGAGAUACAGGUUAGUACCAUAGAGGAGAUACAGGUUAGUACCAUAGAGGAGAUACAGGUUAGUACCGUAGAGGAGAUACAGGUUAGUACCAUAGAGGAGAUACAGGUUAGUACCAUAGAGGAGAUACAGGUUAGUACUGUAGAGGAGAUACAGGUUAGUACUGUAGAGGAGAUACAGGUUAGUACCGUAGAGGAGAUACAGGUUAGUACCGUAGAGGAGAUACAGGUUAGUACCGUAGAGGAGAUACAGGUUAGUACCGUAGAGGAGAUACAGGUUAGUACCGUAGAGGAGAUACAGGUUAGUACCGUAGAGGAGAUACAGGUUAGUACCAUAGAGGAGAUACAGGUUAGUACAGGUUAGUACCAUAGAGGAGAUACAGGUUAGUACCGUAGAGGAGAUACAGGUUAGUACCAUAGAGGAGAUACAGGUUAGUACCAUAGAGGAGAUACAGGUUAGUACCAUAGAGGAGAUACAGGUUAGUACCAUAGAGGAGAUACAGGUUAGUACCGUAGAGGAGAUACAGGUUAGUACCGUAGAGGAGAUACAGGUUAGUACCGUAGAGGAGAUACAGGUUAGUACCGUAGAGGAGAUACAGGUUAGUACCGUAGAGGAGAUACAGGUUAGUACCGUAGAGGAGAUACAGGUUAGUACCGUAGAGGAGAUACAGGUUAGUACCGUAGAGGAGAUACAGGUUAGUACUGUAGAGGAGAUACAGGUUAGUACCAUAGAGGAGAUACAGGUUAGUACCGUAGAGGAGAUACAGGUUAGUACCGUAGAGGAGAUACAGGUUAGUACCGUAGAGGAGAUACAGGUUAGUACCAUAGAGGAGAUACAGGUUAGUACCGUAGAGGAGAUACAGGUUAGUACCGUAGAGGAGAUACAGGUUAGUACCGUAGAGGAGAUACAGGUUAGUACCGUAGAGGAGAUACAGGUUAGUACCAUAGAGGAGAUACAGGUUAGUACCGUAGAGGAGAUACAGGUUAGUACCGUAGAGGAGAUACAGGUUAGUACCGUAGAGGAGAUACAGGUUAGUACCGUAGAGGAGAUACAGGUUAGUACCGUAGAGGAGAUACAGGUUAGUACCGUAGAGGAGAUACAGGUUAGUACCGUAGAGGAGAUACAGGUUAGUACCGUAGAGGAGAUACAGGUUAGUACCGUAGAGGAGAUACAGGUUAGUACCGUAGAGGAGAUACAGGUUAGUACCGUAGAGGAGAUACAGGUUAGUACCGUAGAGGAGAUACAGGUUAGUACCGUAGAGGAGAUACAGGUUAGUACCGUAGAGGAGAUACAGGUUAGUACCGUAGAGGAGAUACAGGUUAGUACCGUAGAGGAGAUACAGGUUAGUACCGUAGAGGAGAUACAGGUUAGUACCGUAGAGGAGAUACAGGUUAGUACCGUAGAGGAGAUACAGGUUAGUACCGUAGAGGAGAUACAGGUUAGUACCGUAGAGGAGAUACAG